RNAcentral lists this transfer RNA (90 nucleotides) under Vulcanimicrobiota bacterium. Its description in RNAcentral is "tRNA-Ser". It matches the Rfam family "tRNA". From Rfam's summary of the family: Transfer RNA (tRNA) molecules are approximately 80 nucleotides in length. Their secondary structure includes four short double-helical elements and three loops (D, anti-codon, and T loops). Further hydrogen bonds mediate the characteristic L-shaped molecular structure. tRNAs have two regions of fundamental functional importance: the anti-codon, which is responsible for specific mRNA codon recognition, and the 3' end, to which the tRNAs corresponding amino acid is attached (by aminoacyl-tRNA synthetases). tRNAs cope with the degeneracy of the genetic code in two manners: having more than one tRNA (with a specific anti-codon) for a particular amino acid; and 'wobble' base-pairing, i.e. permitting non-standard base-pairing at the 3rd anti-codon position. The record is from RNAcentral. Lineage: Bacteria; Bacillati; Vulcanimicrobiota.
GGAGAGGUGGCAGAGUGGUCGAAUGCACUCGCUUGGAAAGCGAGCAGACCCCUAAAGGUCUCGGGAGUUCGAAUCUCCCCCUCUCCGCCA